Molecule: ribosomal RNA, 169 nt
Filed under: uncultured bacterium
Lineage: Bacteria
Description: partial 16S rRNA
Source: RNAcentral
GGGGCUUUGGUCAUGGGCGCAGCCUGAUCUGCCAUGCCGCGUGUGUGAUGAAGGCCUUCGGGUUGUAAAGCUCUUUUGGUCGGGAAGAAACUGACCCUACCUGUAGCAGUAUGGUCCGGACCGCUACCGAGUACAGUUCGCGCCGGCUCACUUCCGAUGCCACCAGGCG